Molecule: ribosomal RNA, 699 nt
Filed under: uncultured archaeon
Lineage: Archaea
Description: bacterial SSU rRNA
Rfam family: Archaeal small subunit ribosomal RNA
Source: RNAcentral
GGACACCCUGCCCUCGGGAGGGGGAUAACCCCGGGAAACUGGGGCUAAACCCCCAUAGGUGAUGGAUACUGGAAUGUUCCAUCACCGAAAGUCCGCAAGGAGCCCGAGGAUGGGUCUGCGGCGGAUUAGGUAGUUGGUGGGGUAACGGCCCACCAAGCCUAAGAUCCGUACGGGCCAUGGGAGUGGGAGCCCGGAGAUGGACCCUGAGACAAGGGUCCAGGCCCUACGGGGCGCAGCAGGCGCGAAACCUCCGCAAUGCGGGAAACCGCGACGGGGUCAGCCGGAGUGCCGAUGCUUGCAUCGGCUGUCGGGGAGCCUAAAAAGCUCCCCAUAGCAAGGGCCGGGCAAGGCCGGUGGCAGCCGCCGCGGUAAUACCGGCGGCCCGAGUGGCGGCCACUAUUAUUGGGCUUAAAGCGUCCGUAGCCGGGUUGGUUAGUCUCCCGGGAAAUCUGGCCGCUUAACGGUCAGAAUUCCGGGAGAUACUGCCAGCCUAGGGACCGGGAGAGGCCGAGGGUAUUCCCGGAGUAGGGGUGAAAUCCUAUAAUCCCGGGAGGACCACCUGUGGCGAAGGCGCUCGGCUGGAACGGGUCCGACGGUGAGGGACGAAGGCCAGGGGAGCAAACCGGAUUAGAUACCCGGGUAGUCCUGGCUGUAAACGAUGCGGACUUUGUGUCGGACAAGCUAUGAGCUUGUCCGGUG